GCUACGGGCGGCAGCAGUGGGGAAUAUUGGGCAAUGGAGGCAACUCUGACCCAGCAAUGCCGCGUGAGUGAUGCAGGUAAUUUUAUUGUAAACCUCUUUUGCCGGGGAGCAAGGGCCGGGACGCGUCCCGGCCCGGAGAGUACCCGGAGAAAAAGCAUCGGCUAACUCCGUGCCAGCAGCCGCGGUAAUACGGAGGAUGCGAGCGUUAUCCGGAUUUAUUGGGUUUAAAGGGUGCGUAGGCGGGCUUUUAAGUCAGCGGUAAAAAUUAGGGGCUCAACCCCGUCCGGCCGUUGAAACUGGGGGCCUUGAGUGGGCGAGAAGAAGGCGGAAUGCGUGGUGUAGCGGUGAAAUGCAUAGAUAUCACGCAGAACCCCGAUUGCGAAGGCAGCCUUCCGGCGCCCUACUGACGCUGAGGCACGAAAGUGCGGGGAUCGAACAGGAUUAGAUACCCUUGUAGUC
RNAcentral lists this ribosomal RNA (459 nucleotides) under uncultured bacterium. RNAcentral describes it as "partial 16S ribosomal RNA". It matches the Rfam family "Bacterial small subunit ribosomal RNA", at positions 338 to 795 of the family's 1533-position model. The record is from RNAcentral.